This 21-nucleotide non-coding RNA is filed under the name Caenorhabditis elegans. The record is from RNAcentral. Lineage: Eukaryota; Metazoa; Nematoda; Chromadorea; Rhabditida; Rhabditidae.
UUCUGUAGAGAAAAACAAAAA